UACGUAGGGUGCAAGCGUUGUCCGGAAUUAUUGGGCGUAAAGAGCUCGUAGGCGGUUUGUCGCGUCUGCUGUGAAAACUCGGGGCUUAACUCCGGGCCUGCAGUGGGUACGGGCAGACUAGAGUGCGGUAGGGGAGACUGGAAUUCCUGGUGUAGCGGUGAAAUGCGCAGAUAUCAGGAGGAACACCGGUGGCGAAGGCGGUUCUCUGGGAAUGUACUGACGCUGAGGAGCGAAAGUGUGGGGAGCGAACAGG
Molecule: ribosomal RNA, 253 nt
Filed under: uncultured bacterium
Lineage: Bacteria
Description: partial 16S ribosomal RNA
Rfam family: Bacterial small subunit ribosomal RNA
Source: RNAcentral